GGCAGGGUGUAGCCGCGAGGAAUGCGGCGCUUCCCCACGGACGGCUCCGCCAAAAGAGCACUUGUGUUUUUUAACACUGGCCUUUCAGGAGGAUGCUCGAGUUAAGGCAUUGUGGCCCACUGUAAAUAGAUGCACUCGCCAGAAUGGGGCUUCGUCAUCCCUAAUUAGGGAAGUAACUCCAGAGAGACAGCAUGUCACUUGCAAGACUGGGCUCAUUGUUGGGUUUGUGCGCGUCCCCACAAUGUGAGGAUCAUUCAGGACUUGCAACAGAUUAAUCAGGCUUGACUGGACGUGAACCUCCUAGCAGAAAAGGUAGAUCAACUCUGCUGGAUGCCCAGUAGAGGUCUAAAUGCUCCCCUACCAAGAAAAAAACAGCUCAACAAGGUCUGCAAGGAAAACAUUUUGGAGUUACUGCUGCCUUCUCCUCUCAGGAAAUUUACAGCCUCACAAAGGGGGAAUUUUCAGCCUUCCAAACAGCAUGGAUGGAAGCCUGCAGUAGCAUUUAUUCACAUGUCAGGUUAAGGAGUGCUCUGCCAAAGCCCGACCAAGGAAAUCACAACCCAGCCUAUGGAUCCUGAGAAAUCACCCCUGACAAUUUGGUUGGAAGAUGCCUUGUUUUCCUAAUAAGGUACUGUACCUGAUCAUCAACAUGUAUUUGGAACCAGUCAAAAUGCAUUUGGCAAACCAGCAUUUGAUUUGUGGGAAAUCUACAAAAACCCAGAUCCCAAACCCAACAGUGAUGAAUGGUCAAAUUUCUGAGGAGAAGGCCAGUGCCAGCUGCCACACCUCACCUUGGAUAGAAGUGUGCAUGUGCUGGAGCAUGAAUACAUUUCAGUGCAUUUCUCUGCUUCUUCCUC
Non-coding RNA from Cyanistes caeruleus (blue tit), 857 nucleotides. NCBI's taxonomy places the organism in Eukaryota, Metazoa, Chordata, Aves, Passeriformes, Paridae. The record is from RefSeq and is a predicted model, not a curated record.